Molecule: transfer RNA, 71 nt
Filed under: Lauridromia dehaani
Lineage: Eukaryota; Metazoa; Arthropoda; Malacostraca; Decapoda; Dromiidae
Description: tRNA-Val
Source: RNAcentral
UAAAAUAUAGCUAAAAGAGUAGCAUCUCAGUUACGUUGAGAAGAGUAAUCGUGCAAAUCGGUUUAUUUUAA